GUGUCAGCCGCCGCGGUAAUACGGAGGGUGCGAGCGUUGUCCGGAAUCAUUGGGCGUAAAGGGCGCGUAGGUGGCCCGGUCAGUCGAUGGUGAAAGCGCGGGGCUCAACUCCGCGUCGGCCGUCGAUACUGCUGGGCUUGAGCACUGUAGAGGCAGGCGGAAUUCCGGGUGUAGCGGUGGAAUGCGUAGAGAUCCGGAAGAACACCGGUGGCGAAGGCGGCCUGCUGGGCAGUGGCUGACACUGAGGCGCGACGGCGUGGGGAGCAAACAGGAUUAGAUACCCUCGUAGUCC
Molecule: ribosomal RNA, 292 nt
Filed under: uncultured bacterium
Lineage: Bacteria
Description: partial 16S ribosomal RNA
Rfam family: Bacterial small subunit ribosomal RNA
Source: RNAcentral